Molecule: ribosomal RNA, 256 nt
Filed under: uncultured archaeon
Lineage: Archaea
Description: partial 16S ribosomal RNA
Rfam family: Bacterial small subunit ribosomal RNA
Source: RNAcentral
UAAUACGUAGGUGGCAAGCGUUGUCCGGAUUUACUGGGCGUAAAGAGCGCGCAGGCGGUCUUGUAAGUCGAAUGUGAAAGCCCCUGGCUCAACUGGGGAGGGUCAUUCGAUACUGCUCGACUCGAAGGCAGGAGAGGGAAGUGGAAUUCCGGGUGUAGUGGUGAAAUGCGUAGAUAUCCGGAGGAACACCAGUGGCGAAGGCGACUUUCUGGCCUGUUCUUGACGCUGAGGCGCGAAAGCUAGGGGAGCAAACGGG